GGUAAUGGAUGGGGAUGCGUCUGAUUAGCUUGUUGGCGGGGUAACGGCCCACCAAGGCAACGAUCAGUAGGGGUUCUGAGAGGAAGGUCCCCCACAUUGGAACUGAGACACGGUCCAAACUCCUACGGGAGGCAGCAGUGAGGAAUAUUGGUCAAUGGACGGAAGUCUGAACCAGCCAAGUAGCGUGCAGGAUGACGGCCCUAUGGGUUGUAAACUGCUUUUGUAUGGGGAUAAAGUUAGGGACGUGUCCCUAUUUGCAGGUACCAUACGAAUAAGGACCGGCUAAUUCCGUGCCAGCAGCCGCGGUAAUACGGAAGGUCCAGGCGUUAUCCGGAUUUAUUGGGUUUAAAGGGAGCGUAGGCUGGAGAUUAAGUGUGUUGUGAAAUGUAGACGCUCAACGUCUGAAUUGCAGCGCAUACUGGUUUCCUUGAGUACGCACAACGUUGGCGGAAUUCGUCGUGUAGCGGUGAAAUGCUUAGAUAUGACGAAGAACUCCGAUUGCGAAGGCAGCUGACGGGAGCGCAACUGACGCUUAAGCUCGAAGGUGCGGGUAUCAAACAGGAUUAGAUACCCUGGUAGUCCGCACAGUAAACGAUGGAUGCCCGCUGUUGGUACCUGGUAUCAGCGGCUAAGCGAAAGCAUUAAGCAUCCCACCUGGGGAGUACGCCGGCAACGGUGAAACUCAAAGGAAUUGACGGG
RNAcentral lists this ribosomal RNA (699 nucleotides) under uncultured bacterium. RNAcentral's name for it is "bacterial SSU rRNA". It matches the Rfam family "Bacterial small subunit ribosomal RNA", at positions 217 to 917 of the family's 1533-position model. The record is from RNAcentral.